UGUGAGCUGCAAAUUGAAAAGUAGAGGUUAUUUUCCUACUGAAAAGUAGAAACAAAAAAAAAAAAGAAAAAGAAACAACGUUUCUGUUUUAGACCCUUCUCACACCUGAGGAGAGCAGAAAGGUUUUACGAUAGGCGGUGUUAAGAUCGAUUUUAGUUCUACAGCACCACCUUGUGAUCGAGGAUACUUUAUUUUAAAUUAAACCUCUUCCCGGUUUGCGCUUUGAACAAGCUAUUUCCACUGCAUGAUUCCAGCGCCAGCAUGGACGUCUGCAGCCUGUUGAUGUACUGCUCCAUCAUGUGGAAUUGGAUGAUCAGUGGAAUCUGGUUGGCCAGACGAUCAGAGGCAAUCUAGAAGUGCAAGAAAGCAAGGAUUUUCAACUUUGGAUUCUUUACGGUUCACAAACCCAGGAAGCUCCCUGCCCCUGUAUGUCCUGGAAUAUUCCUCCACCUCAUCCCGCAGGUGAUCUUCCACUAGAAACGGGAAAAACAGGAGAGCGAAGAGGAAAUAAGACAACCUGCCUGCGGAAAACCUCGCACUUAAAAUGAAGUGAAAUAAA
Lepisosteus oculatus (spotted gar) is the source of this 559-nucleotide long non-coding RNA. RefSeq lists it as uncharacterized. NCBI's taxonomy places the organism in Eukaryota, Metazoa, Chordata, Actinopteri, Semionotiformes, Lepisosteidae. The record is from RefSeq and is a predicted model, not a curated record.